This 415-nucleotide long non-coding RNA is filed under the name Cairina moschata (Muscovy duck). Its description in RNAcentral is "domestica (muscovy Duck (domestic type)) lncRNA (ENSCMMG00000000300.1)". Lineage: Eukaryota; Metazoa; Chordata; Aves; Anseriformes; Anatidae. The record is from RNAcentral.
GGGCAGCGGGGGCGGCGCUCGGCGGCUGCUGGGCGAUGCGGAGCUGCCCUAGGAUUUACUGAGGCUGUCGGGGAGCGUCUGGUUCUUCCCACACAGUGCGUUUGCUUUUAUCCAUGAAUGCAUCCAGCCGUGCUCACCGCCAGCGCUGUGAUUGUCACCGAGAGGAAGCAGCCCUGCUGCUCGGGGAGGCUGGACAGAAGGGAGGAAGGAAGAGGAGGAAGGGAUUCGAGCUUCAGGUUGCUUUUAUGGUAUGGGGCGAGGGGCAGCUCGUGCCUGGAGCUGUUCCUUCUUGGCCCGCAGCGGCAGGGCGACACGCUGGCCCAGUGACUCACGGAGAAAAUAUCCUUCAGGUACAGGAAACGAGGAGACAAACCAGCAAUCUUUUCCAUUCCCAUUUGUCAUGAGCUGUGUGAAU